Non-coding RNA from Cinara cedri, 270 nucleotides. The record is from the annotation of a GenBank genome assembly. Lineage: Eukaryota; Metazoa; Arthropoda; Insecta; Hemiptera; Aphididae.
AAAAAAUAUUGAUUUUCCGUUCGCCGGAGGAGAAUAUUAAGUGUUCCCGCGGAGCACCGCCGAAUACCGCGGCUUAUUGAACAAGUCUGCUAUUUUUUUGUGGGGGAAAAAAAAACUAUAUAUAUAUUUUUUUAUCGGUAAGUAGUUAGCGGGGUCGUAAUAACACGACCGGCGACGGCUGAGGUGGAGUAGAACGAGAAGGAGGCGUUGAGAGUAGACUGCGAGUUUGCCGCGCGAACCAUAAGGCCGCGGAGUAAAAAUGUUACGAUC